RNAcentral lists this long non-coding RNA (803 nucleotides) under Citrus sinensis (sweet orange). Its description in RNAcentral is "long non-coding RNA (CSIN_LNC004046)". The record is from RNAcentral. Lineage: Eukaryota; Viridiplantae; Streptophyta; Magnoliopsida; Sapindales; Rutaceae.
AAACCAAACCAAACUGAAAUAACUUUUCAACCCCUUUGGGUUGAAUUCUUGAACCCAAACUGGUUGUAAUCUGAACUGAAAAUUGAAAACACCAACAAAAAAUUGAAAUGCGCGACCCUAUUCAAGACUAUUGCAGUGUCCUAUAAGGUGAGGUUGAUUUCGAGCUCUCCUUGAAGGUAUGAUAUGCAAUCUGCUGUUUUUUUUUAAUUCUACUGUCCUCUAUCAUUAUUUGUAAACAUGUUAAGAUUUUGGUUUAUGCUUAUUGUUCUGUAGUAAGCUCACCAAUGUGUAGUUUUUGAUACAAAUGAUAAAAGGGCUAUUAAUAUUAGAUGAUGUUAUUUGAUGAUUUAUAUUAAUGCAAUCAAGUUUGUUCUUGUUCAUUGUAGAUGUAUUCUCCAUUUAUCUUCCAAAGAUAACUUUGUCAUUAAACUGAAAUUGACAUAAAGGUUGCAUAGAACAAGUAUGCUGAUUUUUUUCCUAUUGAAAAUAAAACUUAUUUGAUCCUACCCAAGAAGUUAGGACAUGCAUUGGAAAUUCUAAAUAUUAUUUAUUUUUCCCAACCUUGUUUUCUAAUAUCAUUUAUUUAUUUAUUAUUAUUUUCUUUUUUUGUAUGUAGAGACUCUUGAAAUAUAGCAGCAUUUGAAGUCUAGCUUUCAGAAGCUGUAAAUUGAUUUAGUUUUGUAUUGGUUUUAUUUGAUGUAAAAAAAUUUUAAAACAUGUUUAGAUGAAUGGAAAUUUUGAUUUCCUUUACUUUUUAGAGCACUGGAUAAAUUAAUAGUGCAUUAUAAUUUCAUUUACAAACA